CGGACGGGUGAGUAACACGUGGAUAACCUACCUAUAAGACUGGGAUAACUUCGGGAAACCGGAGCUAAUACCGGAUAAUAUAUUUAACCGCAUGGUUCAAUAGUGAAAGACGGUUUUGCUGUCACUUAUAGAUGGAUCCGCGCCGCAUUAGCUAGUUGGUAGGGUAACGGCCUACCAAGGCGAUGAUGCAUAGCCGAGUUGAGAGACUGAUCGGCCACAUUGGGACUGAGACACGGCCCAAACUCCUACGGGAGGCAGCAGUA
This 263-nucleotide ribosomal RNA is filed under the name uncultured Staphylococcus sp. RNAcentral's name for it is "partial 16S ribosomal RNA". It matches the Rfam family "Bacterial small subunit ribosomal RNA", at positions 99 to 355 of the family's 1533-position model. Lineage: Bacteria; Bacillati; Bacillota; Bacilli; Caryophanales; Staphylococcaceae. The record is from RNAcentral.